Molecule: ribosomal RNA, 450 nt
Filed under: uncultured bacterium
Lineage: Bacteria
Description: partial 16S ribosomal RNA
Rfam family: Bacterial small subunit ribosomal RNA
Source: RNAcentral
CUACGGGAGGCUGCAGUGGGGAAUUUUGGACAAUGGGGGCAACCCUGAUCCAGCCAUUCCGCGUGAGUGAAGAAGGCCUUCGGGUUGUAAAGCUCUUUUGUCCGGAGCGAAACGGGCGGCCCUAAUACGGUCGUCUACUGACGGUACCGGAAGAAUAAGCACCGGCUAACUACGUGCCAGCAGCCGCGGUAAUACGUAGGGUGCGAGCGUUAAUCGGAAUUACUGGGCGUAAAGCGUGCGCAGCCGGUUUGAAAUCCCCGGGCUCAACCUGGGAAUGGCAUUUGGGACUGCAAGGCUGGAGUGUGGCAGAGGGGACUAGAAUUCCUGGUGUAGCAGUGAAAUGCGUAGAUAUCAGGAGGAAUACCGAUGGCGAAGGCAGGUCCCUGGGUUAACACUGACGCUCAUGCACGAAAGCGUGGGGAGCAAACAGGAUUAGAUACCCGUGUAGUC